ACGGGAUGAUGAGUGCCCAGAAGGUUUCGCUCAUUGGACUGAAUGCCUGUGAUGUCACCUCCUCUUGGCUGUCUGACCAC
Molecule: small nucleolar RNA, 80 nt
Organism: Syngnathus acus (greater pipefish)
Lineage: Eukaryota; Metazoa; Chordata; Actinopteri; Syngnathiformes; Syngnathidae
Product: small nucleolar RNA SNORD53/SNORD92
Exons: 1
Source: RefSeq, a predicted model, not a curated record